GCCAGACUCCUACGGGAGGCAGCAGUGGGGAAUAUUGGGCAAUGGGCGCAAGCCUAACCCAGCAACGCCGCGUGAAGGAAGAAGGCUUUCGGGUUGUAAACUUCUUUUGUCAGGGACGAAGCAAGUGACGGUACCUGACGAAUAAGCCACGGCUAACUACGUGCCAGCAGCCGCGGUAAUACGUAGGUGGCAAGCGUUAUCCGGAUUUACUGGGUGUAAAGGGCGUGUAGGCGGGGAAGCAAGUCAGAUGUGAAAACCACGGGCUCAACCUGUGGCCUGCAUUUGAAACUGUUUUUCUUGAGUGCUGGAGAGGCAAUCGGAAUUCCGCGUGUAGCGGUGAAAUGCGUAGAUAUACGGAGGAACACCAGUGGCGAAGGCGGAUGACUGGACGGCAACUGACGGUGAGGCGCGAAAGCGUGGGGAGCAAACAGGAUUAGAUACCCCCGUAUC
This 450-nucleotide ribosomal RNA is filed under the name uncultured bacterium. RNAcentral's name for it is "bacterial SSU rRNA". It matches the Rfam family "Bacterial small subunit ribosomal RNA", at positions 330 to 794 of the family's 1533-position model. The record is from RNAcentral.